This 700-nucleotide small RNA is filed under the name Pongo abelii (Sumatran orangutan). Its description in RNAcentral is "processed transcript". Lineage: Eukaryota; Metazoa; Chordata; Mammalia; Primates; Hominidae. The record is from RNAcentral.
CAAGAAAACCAUCCAACUUACACAUGAACAACAGCUGAUUCUGAAUCACAAGAUGGAACCUCUCCAGGUGGUGAAAAUUAUGGCCUUUGCCGGCACUGGGAAGACCUCAACCCUGGUCAAGUACGCAGAGAAGUGGUCUCAGAGCAGGUUUCUGUAUGUGACAUUCAACAAGAGCAUCGCAAAGCAGGCCGAACGUGUCUUCCCCAGCAACGUCAUCUGCAAAACCUUCCAUUCCAUGGCCUAUGGGCACGUAGGGCGGAAGUGAGUACUGGCCUAUGGGCACGUAGGGCGGAAGUGAGUACUGGCCUAUGGGCACGUAGGGCGGAAGUGAGUACUGCUGUCCCUAGUGGCACUGCUGCUGCUGACAGGGUCGCGUCUUACUGUUUUCCCGUGACCAUCACAUGUGAGCUUACACCACAGUGACCCCGAGGAGUGUAGUGCUGUUCUCUCCACUUACAGGCAGGAAACAAAUACAUAGGUUUAGCCAUUUGUACUUUUAUCCUGUAGCAACAUAUCGUUCACAUAUAAUGCCGUCUUGCUGAGAGGGGUGUUCUCAUGGAAGUGAGGCACAGAAAGUCAAAAUGACUUGCUUAAAGUUCAGAAUCUUACAAAUCCUGAUCAGUUGUAGGCUUUUCUUGGAAGGGAGUGAGGAAGACUCAGCCGAGGCACACUUGCCCCAGGUCUUCUGGAUGUAGAGGCA